CAGACUUUUUCAAUUAAAAUAUACUAUAAUCCUAGCUAUUGUUUGGUGAGCCUAAAUAUAUUGUGGGACUGGUUAGGCCUCAUAUUUCGAUAGGAUACCAAUCCAGCAAAUGAGGGUUUUGUAAACCCAAGUGGAACCAUGUGUUUCGAAGCCUCUGCCUCUGCCUCCGCCUUUCGUUGCUUUAGAGAACCUCUUAUUUUCAUCAUCUUUCUUCUCUUCUUCUAUUCAUCUUUUUCUCUGAUGCUUCCACAGAUUUCAAGCAAUCUGACACUUCAAUCUCUCUCGCUCUCUAUCAUGGAAAUAGGAACAAGAAAAAGAAGAAGGAAAGGGUGGGUCUGAAGAGAAGGGAAAAGGAGAUCUUGACCAUAAUUUUUUUUUUCUUCUCAUUUUCUGGGUUUUGCCUACACUCGGAAUUGGGGGCCCUUAAUAAAGGUUGUCCAUCUCUUUUGUUUUUCUUGCUUCUGUUUGUUCCUGGUCCUGAUAAGAAUCCCAGAUUUUCUACAUCUCUCUAUCUCCUUUUGGCUUCAAUUUUAUUUAUUUAUUGUCUGUUGUUAAUUUUGGUUAAUGGGUUGAUCGAAUUGAUCUCAAUUGUUCUGGGUAAGUCAGAUAUGUUGGUUAAUUUUUUUGGAUUUUGUUGCUUGAUCGAUGUAAGUCCUAAUCUCUCUCUCUCUCUCUCUCUCUCUCUCUCUUUUUAAAUUUUAAUUUUUCUGAUUUUAUUAGUUUAAAAUUUUCCAUAUUGGUCAACCCGGUAAGCGAUAAAUUUUCAUAUUGAUCAAUUCGAGACUCUAAAUUCGAGACUCUGUGGGGUCCACGACCUCCAAAUAUUAAUCCGAGAGUUCCUAUAGGUUCCUUACAUUUAAAUAACUCUAUCUUGCAAGUUUGGUCUGAAUCAGAUGGUCAGAUUAAUCACAAUCGCACAAUCGAAUGAUCACGGUUAAUUAACUCUAGGGUUCGUGAUUUCGGAGUAUCCGAGACUCCGAUUCAUGAUCCGUCGAAUCUUAUACGAUCCUAGAAAUACGGGGUACAACAUAUGUGAGUUGAGUUCGAUCCAAAGGUACGAACCCAUCGAACCUGGAUAACGGACAAUAUGCAAAAUCCAUUCAAGGCUCAAACGGUAUCCGAAUUGGAAUUCGAGUAUACCUACCCACUCAUGACAAAUAGGGGAUCGUAUCGGCACACAAUAUCUCUUUUCUACAGUGCCCACAUGCCACCACACGUUCUGGCAGCGCGUGGGUGUCCAAAAUGAUAACGACCACUGGA
RNAcentral lists this long non-coding RNA (1260 nucleotides) under Prunus dulcis (almond). Its description in RNAcentral is "sRNA ncRNA". The record is from RNAcentral. Lineage: Eukaryota; Viridiplantae; Streptophyta; Magnoliopsida; Rosales; Rosaceae.